AUUGAACGCUGGCGGCAGGCCUAAUACAUGCAAGUCGAACGAGUGGCGGACUGGUGAGUAAUUCUUGGAAAUCUAGCUUAUGGAGGGGGCUAACUACGGUAAACCGUAGCAAAAACCGCGUACCAUAGGAUGAGCUCAAGUGGGAUUAGGUAGUUGGUGAGGUAAAGGCUCACCAAGCCGACGAGCCCUAGCUGGUCGGAGAGGAAGAGCGGCCACACUGGGACUGAGACACGGCCCAGACUCCGACGGGAGGCAGCAGUGGGGAAUAUUGCGCAAUGGGGGAAACCUGACGGAGCCAUGCCGCGUGAAUGAAGAAGGCCUUCGGGUUGUAAAGUUCUGUCGGUAGCGAGGCGUUAACUACAGAAGAAGCACCGGCUAACUCCGUGCCAGCCGCCGCGGUAAUUC
RNAcentral lists this ribosomal RNA (405 nucleotides) under uncultured bacterium. RNAcentral's name for it is "partial 16S ribosomal RNA". It matches the Rfam family "Bacterial small subunit ribosomal RNA", at positions 30 to 526 of the family's 1533-position model. The record is from RNAcentral.